RNAcentral lists this ribosomal RNA (480 nucleotides) under uncultured bacterium. RNAcentral's name for it is "bacterial SSU rRNA". It matches the Rfam family "Bacterial small subunit ribosomal RNA", at positions 28 to 517 of the family's 1533-position model. The record is from RNAcentral.
GACGAACGCUGGCGGCGUGCUUAACACAUGCAAGUCACGGGGGCCCAGCAAUGGGUAACCGGCGAACGGGUGCGUAACACGUGAGCAACCUGCCGAUCUGAGGGGGAUAGCCGGCCCAACGGCCGGGUAAUACCGCAUACGUUCUUGAGAGGACAUCCUCUUGGGAAGAAACCUCCGGGGCAGAUCGAGGGGCUCGCGGCCUAUCAGCUAGUUGGUGUGGGUAACGGCCCACCAAGGCGACGACGGGUAGCUGGUCUGAGAGGAUGGCCAGCCACAUUGGGACUGAGAGACGGCCCAGACUCCUACGGGAGGCAGCAGUGGGGAAUCUUGCGCAAUGGCCGAAAGGCUGACGCAGCGACGCCGCGUGUGGGAUGAAGCAUUUCGGUGUGUAAACCACUGUUGCCCGGGACGAACAGCUCUUUUCGAGGAGCCUGACGGUACCGGGUGAGGAAGCACCGGCUAACUCCGUGCCAGCCGCCG